ACAGUGGUGUCUCAGUGGUAGAAAUCUCACCUUCCAUGUGGGAGACCAGGGUUCAAUUCCCAGCCAAAGCA
This 71-nucleotide transfer RNA is filed under the name Loxodonta africana (African savanna elephant). It matches the Rfam family "tRNA". From Rfam's summary of the family: Transfer RNA (tRNA) molecules are approximately 80 nucleotides in length. Lineage: Eukaryota; Metazoa; Chordata; Mammalia; Proboscidea; Elephantidae. The record is from Rfam by way of RNAcentral.